GACAACCCUAGAGAUAGGGCUUCCCCUUCGGGGGCAGAGUGACAGGUGGUGCAUGGUUGUCGUCAGCUCGUGUCGUGAGAUGUUGGGUUAAGUCCCGCAACGAGCGCAACCCUUGAUCUUAGUUGCCAGCAUUCAGUUGGGCACUUUAAGGUGACUGCCGGUGACAAACCGGAGGAAGGUGGGGAUGACGUCAAAUCAUCAUGCCCCUUAUGACCUGGGCUACACACGUGCUACAAUGGGCAGAACAAAGGGCAGCGAAGCCGCGAGGCUAAGCCAAUCCCACAAAUCUGUUCUCAGUUCGGAUCGCAGUCUGCAACUCGCCUGCGUGAAGCUGGAAUCGCUAGUAAUCGCGGAUCAGCAUGCCGCGGUGAAUACGUUCCCGGGCCUUGUACACAC
Molecule: ribosomal RNA, 396 nt
Filed under: Bacillus licheniformis
Lineage: Bacteria; Bacillati; Bacillota; Bacilli; Caryophanales; Bacillaceae
Description: bacterial SSU rRNA
Rfam family: Bacterial small subunit ribosomal RNA
Source: RNAcentral